GAGGGUGUAGCUCAGUGGCCAAGUAUGUGCUUGGCAUGCACAAGGUCCUGGGUUCAAUCCCCAGUACCUCCA
RNAcentral lists this transfer RNA (72 nucleotides) under Camelus dromedarius (Arabian camel). It matches the Rfam family "tRNA". From Rfam's summary of the family: Transfer RNA (tRNA) molecules are approximately 80 nucleotides in length. Their secondary structure includes four short double-helical elements and three loops (D, anti-codon, and T loops). Further hydrogen bonds mediate the characteristic L-shaped molecular structure. tRNAs have two regions of fundamental functional importance: the anti-codon, which is responsible for specific mRNA codon recognition, and the 3' end, to which the tRNAs corresponding amino acid is attached (by aminoacyl-tRNA synthetases). tRNAs cope with the degeneracy of the genetic code in two manners: having more than one tRNA (with a specific anti-codon) for a particular amino acid; and 'wobble' base-pairing, i.e. permitting non-standard base-pairing at the 3rd anti-codon position. RNAcentral also lists the same sequence under 1 other name. Lineage: Eukaryota; Metazoa; Chordata; Mammalia; Artiodactyla; Camelidae. The record is from Rfam by way of RNAcentral.